Molecule: transfer RNA, 77 nt
Filed under: Myxococcales bacterium
Lineage: Bacteria; Pseudomonadati; Myxococcota; Myxococcia; Myxococcales
Description: tRNA-Arg
Rfam family: tRNA
About the family: Transfer RNA (tRNA) molecules are approximately 80 nucleotides in length. Their secondary structure includes four short double-helical elements and three loops (D, anti-codon, and T loops).
Source: RNAcentral
GCGGUCGUAGCUCAGCUGGAUAGAGCGUCAGUCUACGGAACUGAAUGUCGGAGGUUCGAAUCCUCCCGACCGCGCCA